UCACCGAAACCGGAGGACACCAUGAAGUUCAAGCACAUCCUGAUGCUCACCCUCGGUGCCGCCGCAGUGGCCGCGCUUCCUGCGUUGGCCCAGGCCGCUCCUCAGCAGGCCGGGCAGGGCGCCACCGCCCAGAAAAGCGACGACGCCAAGGCCAAGACCGACGCCGAGCGCAAGGCCGAGCGCCGCGCUACCGCUGCCGCGCAAAAGCCCAAGGCCGACAGCGCGCCGCGCGAGGAAGAGGAAGAAGAGAAACCCGCACGCUAAGGCAUCUGCGCAGCGUUACGUGGUCCACGGACGCCCCGGCCUCGGCCGGGGCGUCUGUAUUUACGCGUUGUUGCGCGCAU
RNAcentral lists this small RNA (344 nucleotides) under Xanthomonas sp. 3793. RNAcentral's name for it is "sRNA sX6". It matches the Rfam family "Proteobacterial sRNA sX6". Lineage: Bacteria; Pseudomonadati; Pseudomonadota; Gammaproteobacteria; Lysobacterales; Lysobacteraceae. The record is from RNAcentral.